This 403-nucleotide ribosomal RNA is filed under the name uncultured bacterium. RNAcentral's name for it is "partial 16S ribosomal RNA". It matches the Rfam family "Bacterial small subunit ribosomal RNA", at positions 30 to 526 of the family's 1533-position model. The record is from RNAcentral.
AUUGAACGCUGGCGGCAGGCCUAACACAUGCAAGUCGAGCGAGCGGCGGACGGGUGAGUAAUGUAUGGGGACUGCCCGAUAGAGGGGGAUAACUCCUGGAAACGGUGGCUAAUACCGCCUACUCUCGGAUACCCCAUAUGGGAUUAGCUAGUAGGUAAGGUAAUGGCUUACCUAGGCGACGAUCCCUAGCUGGUCUGAGAGGAUGAUCAGCCACACUGGGACUGAGACACGGCCCAGACUCCUACGGAGGCAGCAGUGGGGAAUAUUGCACAAUGGGCGCAAGCCUGAUGCAGCCAUGCCGCGUGUAUGAAGAAGGCCCUAGGGUUGUAAAGUACUUUCAGUCGGGAGGCGUUACCGACAGAAGAAGCACCGGCUAACUCCGUGCCAGCAGCCGCGGUAAUAC